UGGGGAAUAUUGGGCAAUGGGCGCAAGCCUGACCCAGCGACGCCGCGUGGGUGAUGAAGACCUUCGGGUCGUAAAGCUCUGUGGGGAGGGACGAACCGCCGUUGGUUAAUACCCAACGGCAUGACGGUACCGUAAGAAUAAGCACCGGCUAACUACGUGCCAGCAGCCGCGGUAAGACGGAGGGCGCAAGCGUUGUUCGGAAUUACUGGGCGUAAAGCGCGGGCAGGCGGUCUGUUAAGUCGUUUGUGAAAAUCCGGGGCUCAACCCCGGAAAUGCAUACGAUACUGGCAGGCUGGAGACUGGUAGAGGCUAGCGGAAUUCCUGGUGUAGCGGUGGAAUGCGUAGAUAUCAGGAAGAACACCUGUGGCGAAGGCGGCUAGCUGGGCCAGUUCUGACGCUGAUCCGCGAAAGCGUGGGGAGCAAACAGGAUUAGAUACCCCGGUAGUCCCUGAGCGGGCUGGCAAGGCGCAU
Molecule: ribosomal RNA, 471 nt
Filed under: uncultured bacterium
Lineage: Bacteria
Description: bacterial SSU rRNA
Rfam family: Bacterial small subunit ribosomal RNA
Source: RNAcentral